GCAGGCUUAACACAUGCAAGUCGAGCGGUAACAGAGAGUAGCUUGCUACUCUGCUGACGAGCGGCUCACGGGUGAGUAAUGCCUAGGAAUCUGCCUAGUAGUGGGGGAUAACUUGCCGAAAGGUAAGCUAAUACCGCAUACGUCCUACGGGAGAAAGCAGGGGACCUUCGGGCCUUGCGCUAUUAGAUGAGCCUAGGUCGGAUUAGUUAGUUGGUGAGGUAAUGGCUCACCAAGACCGCGAUCCGUAACUGGUCUGAGAGGAUGAUCAGUCACACUGGAACUGAGACACGGUCCAGACUCCUACGGGAGGCAGCAGUGGGGAAUAUUGGACAAUGGGGGCAACCCUGAUCCAGCCAUGCCGCGUGUGUGAAGAAGGUCUUAGGAUUGUAAAGCACUUUAAGUUGGGAGGAAGAGCAGUUAACUAAUACUUGACUGUUUUGACGUUACCGACAGAAUAAGCACCGGCUAACUUCGUGCCAGCAGCCGCGGUAAUACGAAGGGUGCAAGCGUUAAUCGGAAUUACUGGGCGUAAAGCGCGCGUAGGUGGUUCGUUAAGUUAGAAGUGAAAGCCCCAGGCUCAACCUGGGAAUUGCUUCUAAAACUGGCGGACUAGAGUAUGGUAGAGGGUGGUGGAAUUUCCUGCGUAGCGGUGAAAUGCUUAGAUAUUACACAGAACACCGAUUGCGAAGGCAGCUUACUGGGCCAUUACUGACGCUGAUGCACGAAAGCGUGGGGAUCGAAGGGGAUUAGAUACCUAGUAGUCCACGCCGUAAACGAUGAUCACUCGCUGUUAGCGAUACACAGUUAGCGGCUAAGCAAAAGCAUUAAGUGAUCCACCUGGGGAGUACGGCCGCAAGGCUGAAACUCAAAGGAAUUGACGGGGGCCCGCACAAGCGGAGGAACAUGUGGUUUAAUUCGAUGAUACGCGAGGAACCUUACCUGGGCUUAAAUGUAGAGUGCAUUCAGCUGAAAGGCUGAUUUCCUUCGGGACUUUCUGCAAGGUGCUGCAUGGUUGUCGUCAGCUCGUGCCGUGAGGUGUCGGGUUAAGUCCCAUAACGAGCGCAACCCUUAUCGUUAGUUGCCAGCGGGUAAUGCCGGGAACUCUAACGAAACUGCCGGUGUAAACCGAGAGGAAGGUGGGGAUGACGUCAAAUCAGCACGGCCCUUAUGUCCAGGGCUACACACGUGUUACAAUGGCCGGUACAGAGGGCAGCUAUGCCGCGAGGCAAUGCGAAUCUCGAAAGCCGGUCUCAGUUCGGAUCGGAGUCUGCAACUCGACUCCGUGAAGCUGGAUUCGCUAGUAAUCGCGCAUCAGCCAUGGCGCGGUGAAUACGUUCCCGGGCCUUGCACACACACACCCGUCA
This 1364-nucleotide ribosomal RNA is filed under the name uncultured bacterium. RNAcentral describes it as "partial 16S ribosomal RNA". It matches the Rfam family "Bacterial small subunit ribosomal RNA", at positions 42 to 1399 of the family's 1533-position model. The record is from RNAcentral.